AUGGCAAUAUCACAUUGAAACACCAGUUCUUAUAUUAUCACUGAAGUGAAGCAAUGUUGAAUCUGGUCAGUACUAAGAUGGGUGACCAUGUGGGAACAUCAAGUGCUGUAAG
Molecule: non-coding RNA, 112 nt
Organism: Acanthosepion pharaonis
Lineage: Eukaryota; Metazoa; Mollusca; Cephalopoda; Sepiida; Sepiidae
Source: the annotation of a GenBank genome assembly